Molecule: ribosomal RNA, 438 nt
Filed under: Triticum aestivum (bread wheat)
Lineage: Eukaryota; Viridiplantae; Streptophyta; Magnoliopsida; Poales; Poaceae
Description: partial small subunit ribosomal RNA
Source: RNAcentral
AUGUCGAUGCCAAGUCCUUGGUUCCUCUGCAAUGUACGCCCAUCCCUGACCGAUUCUGCAGAGACGUCGCCCGUCUUCUUCAUUCACAACGAGCACGGCUGUUGUACUGCUCGUGCGCGUCAAGUUCCUCUUCCUCGAGCCGUCCCGUCCGUGGCCUCCCGCGAGCCGCCGUCCAGGACCCCGACAGGUCGCGACACUCGCCGGAGUUGGAGUCUCGCAGUGCCAUGGAUAUGGAGUCCCGCACCCGAGCUCCGCCCGCCACCGUUGCCCGGAACCGACGCCGGACGACUCGACCCGCCCGUUCCAGCCGGUUCCCCUCGAUCCCAUCGCCAGGACCCUUGUCGUUGUCUUCUCCAUUGCCUUGUUCUGUUGUUGUUUCUGUUUUCUUCAGGAACGAGAACCGCAGCAGUUCGCCCGCUCGUCUCGCUCGUGCGUUGA